CAAAAACAUUGCCCUCUGUUUAUAAUAUAGGGGGUACCUCCUGCCCAGUGAAAAUUUCAACGGCCGCGGUAUCCUAACCGUGCAAAGGUAGCAUAAUCACUUGCCCAUUAAUUGUGGGCUAGAAUGAAAGGAUAAACAAAAUAAAUACUGUCUCUAUUUAUAUAUAUAUAAAAAUUAAUUUCUAGAUGAAGAAGUCUAGAUAAAGUUGACGGACAAGAAGACCCUAUAGAGCUUUAUUUAUACUAAGAAUUUACUUCUUAUAUAUAAUUUGGUUGGGGCGACCAAGGAAUUUUUAAUCAUCCUAAUAAUUAAGACUAAUAAGUCAUUACAUUGACCCUAAAUUUAGAUCAAGAGAUCAAGCUACCUUAGGGAUAACAGGCUAAUUCUAUUUAAGAGUUCUUAUCUAAAAUAGAGUUUGGCACCUCGAUGUUGGCUUAGGAAAUCUUAAUAGCGCAAUAG
RNAcentral lists this ribosomal RNA (459 nucleotides) under Drawida ghilarovi. RNAcentral describes it as "partial 16S ribosomal RNA". It matches the Rfam family "Bacterial large subunit ribosomal RNA", at positions 1808 to 2561 of the family's 2925-position model. Lineage: Eukaryota; Metazoa; Annelida; Clitellata; Moniligastrida; Moniligastridae. The record is from RNAcentral.